RNAcentral lists this ribosomal RNA (40 nucleotides) under Ficus pubigera. RNAcentral's name for it is "partial 28S ribosomal RNA". Lineage: Eukaryota; Viridiplantae; Streptophyta; Magnoliopsida; Rosales; Moraceae. The record is from RNAcentral.
CAACGCGACCCCAGGUCAAGGCGGGCUACCCGCUGAGUUU